CUUGAUCGAGGCGAUGAGGCUCGCCUUUAACCGCCCUCUCGGUGAGGACUGACAGCUUCUACACAAAC
RNAcentral lists this non-coding RNA (68 nucleotides) under Candidatus Bathyarchaeota. Its description in RNAcentral is "Fluoride sequence". It matches the Rfam family "Fluoride riboswitch aptamer (crcB RNA motif)". The record is from RNAcentral. Lineage: Archaea; Thermoproteati.